This 1288-nucleotide long non-coding RNA is filed under the name Capra hircus (goat). RNAcentral's name for it is "lncRNA (ENSCHIG00010012609.1)". Lineage: Eukaryota; Metazoa; Chordata; Mammalia; Artiodactyla; Bovidae. The record is from RNAcentral.
CUUUUUUAUUGCAGCGCUAAUCACUGUGAAUUUCACUUUGUUGAGUGCUGGAUUUUGUACUCAUGUAAAAGGUGCUGGGUUUCAUUCUGGCAUGGGGUUAUCUGGAGUUGUUCUGGUUUGGGUCUUGCUUUUCAAGUGUUAGGACAGAUCCAGAGGGGUCUUUUAGGACUGACUUGCCCGCGACGGAGGCAGUGCCCUUCUAAGCAGUCCACUGAGGCUCUUCCCACCCUGCUCAGGGAGCGUGAGCUCGGCCCAGCUUCUAAGCAGUCCACUGAGGCUCUUCCCAGCCUGCCCGGGGAGCGUGAGCUCGGCCCAGCUUCUAAGCAGUCCACUGAGGUUCUUCCCAGCCUGCCCGGGGAGCGUGAGCUCAGCCCAGCUUCCGAGCAGUCCACUGAGGUUCUUCCCACCCUGCCAGGGGAGCAUGAGCUCAGCCCAGCUUCUAAGCAGUCCACUGAGGCUCUUCCCUGCCUGCCUGGGGAGCGUGAGCUCGGCCCAGCUUCUGAGCAGUCCACUGAGGUUCUUCCCAGCCUGCCCGGGGAGCGUGAGCUCAGCCCAGCUUCUAAGCAGUCCACUGAGGCUCUUCCCAGCCUGCCUGGGGAGCGUGAGCUUGGCCUAGCUUCUGAGCAGUCCACUGAGGUUCUUCCCAGCCUGCCCAGGGAGCAUGAGCUCAGCCCAGCUUCGUACCAGUUCUCAGUGCCGAUCAGUCUCCAGCUUCAGGUAACUUUCUACCUGAAAAUUGUAUUGAUUGGCACUCAAGCAUAGGCCACAGAUUCUGGUGCUCGCUCACUCCUUGUGCAGCAGGAUACGCCACACUUCAGGCCCCUUCUGCCCUCCAGCAUGGAUUGGGUCCCUCAGAGUUGUGGGCCUGGCGAGGGAUAGUUGAGAAGGGGGUGGUGGGAUCUGGUCUUUCUGGAGCUAAUAGAAGCCAGGUGCAUAGUGACUGCUGGGGAGUCACUUGUACUCUGGACAUCUCUCUCCCAGCAGAGUGCUAAAGGUUGGCAAGCACGAAGAGGAACAAACCAGAAUCUUGGUCCUUGUGAGUUCAUGAUGCCCUUGAGGAAGAAACAGGGCUUUCAGUUGGCACCAGACGCCCAUCUGAGAUGGUGACGGGUCUCAGGGCGCUGCUGUGAGGUCCUCCUGAGAGUUCCAGGGACGGGGGAGUUGGGGAGGAGGUGCGGGAGGCAGAGGGGAGGAGGUUGGGGAGUGCAGAAGAGGAGCUGGGCAGGAUUCAGCCCAGGGUUCCUGUGUGCGCCAUGGGGGAGAGAACAACAACCCAUUGUUCUCCUUG